AUUGAACGCUGGCGGCAUGCCUAAUACAUGCAAGUCGAACGAGAUCUUCGGAUCUAGUGGCGCACGGGUGCGUAACGCGUGGGAAUCUGCCCUUGGGUUCGGAAUAACAGCGGGAAACUGCUGCUAAUACCGGAUGAUGACGUAAGUCCAAAGAUUUAUCGCCCAGGGAUGAGCCCGCGUAGGAUUAGGUAGUUGGUGGGGUAAAGGCCUACCAAGCCUACGAUCCUUAGCUGGUCUGAGAGGAUGAUCAGCCACACUGGGACUGAGACACGGCCCAGACUCCUACGGGAGGCAGCAGUAGGGAAUAUUGGACAAUGGGGGCAACCCUGAUCCAGCAAUGCCGCGUGAGUGAUGAAGGCCUUAGGGUUGUAAAGCUCUUUUACCCGGGAUGAUAAUGACAGUACCGGGAGAAUAAGCCCCGGCUAACUCCGUGCCAGCCGCCGCGGUAA
This 449-nucleotide ribosomal RNA is filed under the name uncultured bacterium. RNAcentral describes it as "partial 16S ribosomal RNA". It matches the Rfam family "Bacterial small subunit ribosomal RNA", at positions 30 to 523 of the family's 1533-position model. The record is from RNAcentral.